CAAAAUUCCCAGCUGACCUCCAAACCAAGGCUAUGGCUGAGCUCGCCAAUCUUCGGUGCUGUUUAGCCGAGUGGGACUCGCAGUAGGCCCCAGGCCAGCCGCCUUCGGUUGGACGUUAAUGAACGGAGCAGGAAUGGGCACAUCUGAUGAAGCUGGCCAUGCUGUCAACUGAUUUUCAUCUGGUGUGUGUGCGCGCAUGUUUGUGUGUGUGUCUGACAACAGGUGCAGACCAGAUCUCUACGCACUGACAAAAUACAGCCUCUGCUUUGCCAACACAGGCAGAGAAGAUUCAAAGCAGCUUCAAAACAACAAAACCAAACAUCACAGCAUUCCCAAAUGUCACAUUAUUGCGCAUCGUACAUGGACAGAAGCUAACGAGACGGGAAGACAGGAACGUGAUUCUCCUUGGAGAGAGACAAUUUUCACUGCCGCGUCCGAGUCCAAAAAUAACAAAGAACAAAGGCGGAUAAAUGAGUAAGGGCUCAACAGACAGGUUGUUUCAACUCGCGUGAAGGAGAAAGAAGUGGCCGGCAUUUGUGGAUGGGAGAAAAAGAGGCUUUUGAUGAAUUGUCUGUGAAAGUGCAUCAGUCUACCCACAUCUUCAAAACCCCCCGAUGCCUCUUGUCUGCUUUCAGACUCAUUUUUCUCCACAUUGUUGGUAAUUUGAGCAUUCUCGCCCAUGGCAUCAUUCAUAGUUGGCCCAUUUAAAUCCCCUUAGAAAUUCAAUUUGGAGAAAGGAAAUGACAAGAUUUAGCUUAUUGAGGUAUGCCAGAACAUCGUGAAAAUCAGACAUGGGAAUAUAAGAGACUGUAAAACCCUCAUCAUGGUUCGCCUUUGUUACUGUGUGCAAAAGGGACUAAAU
Long non-coding RNA from Astatotilapia calliptera (eastern happy), 862 nucleotides. Lineage: Eukaryota; Metazoa; Chordata; Actinopteri; Cichliformes; Cichlidae. The record is from Ensembl.